UGGGGAAUCUUGCGCAAUGGGCGAAAGCCUGACGCAGCCAUGCCGCGUGAAUGAUGAAGGUCUUAGGAUUGUAAAUUCUUUCAGCGGGGACGAUAGUGACGGUACCCGCAGAAGAAGCCCCGGCUAACUUCGUGCCAGCAGCCGCGGUAAUACGAAGGGGGCUAGCGCUGCUCGGAUUUACUGGGCGUAAAGGGCGCGUAGGCGGAUUGACAAGUUGGGGGUGAAAGCCCGGGGCUCAACCUCGGAAUUGCCUUCAAACUGUCAGUCUUGAGUUCGGGAGAGGUGAGUGGAACUCCGAGUGUAGAGGUGAAAUUCGUAGAUAUUCGGAAGAACACCAGUGGCGAAGGCGACUCACUGGCCCGAUACUGACGCUGAGGCGCGAAAAGCGUGGGGAGCAAACAGGAUUAGAUACCCUGGUAGUCCACGCUGUAAACGAUGAGUGCUAGUUGUCGGCAGGCAUGCCUGUCGGUGACGCAGCUAACGCAUUAAGCACUCCGCCU
RNAcentral lists this ribosomal RNA (500 nucleotides) under uncultured bacterium. RNAcentral describes it as "partial 16S ribosomal RNA". It matches the Rfam family "Bacterial small subunit ribosomal RNA", at positions 355 to 874 of the family's 1533-position model. The record is from RNAcentral.